ACACGCGCCCGCAAGAGUGAAUCCACUGGACCCGGUUAUGAUAAAUGGAUUGCCCUCAAUGUUUACACCGUCAUUGUUUUACCAAACCCUAAUACGCCAGUCAAUCUCCUUCACGGCUUCACGAUCUGUUGAUUCCCUCACGUUAAGCCCUGAUAUUGUUCAACAUUGAACACUGCGUUUUCAGUUUCCAAUCGCAAACCCGUAUAGCUUUCUUCUUAUCCAACGAGCAAUGAUUGAAGGGUAGUAUCUGGUUCCAAUUCUUAGAUUCUUUGUUCUUCGUAUUUUCAUAGAUUAAUUUUGCUAUAUUCAUGUUUUUUGUUAUUAUGUUGAGUGAAUAGAGUUUUUUUAUUCCUCUUCACUGUUGAAUCAAUCAAGGUCAGUUCUCUGUUAUUUUAUUUUAUUUUAUUGUGAAUUCAAUAGGCGUUUUGAAGUGUAUCCUUGCUAGGGUUAAUUUGUGCUAUGCUAAAUCUGAAUUUCAGUCGGUUUAUGUGGUUUUUUACUACCUGAUAAAACCUGCAAAACAUUUAGGUUGUAUGUCUACAAAAUUAACAUGUUCAAAUUAAUAGCUUCAAUAGCUUAUCUUAUUAUUGACGAUAAUGAUGUUGUAUGGUAACUUGUGCGUUGAUUCUUUAGGUAAACAUGGUGCAAAAACUAUAUAAAAGUGGGAAGACAACUGUAAGUUCAUAUGCCGCCUGUGUUGGGAAUACAUUUCAACUUAGCCGGAAGCUUGGCAACGGCUCAUUUGGAGAGAUCUUUAUGAGUUUGUAUGAUGAUCAUUUAGGUUAUGUGUUUAAGAAGUGGUAAAUGAUAUGGUUUUUGUUUGUUUUACAUGAACUAAUAUUCAAAGAAACGAAGAAGUUGCUAUUAGGCUGGAGCGUGGUUGUACUUCUCUUUGAAUAUUGUUUAUUUUCUCUACCUUAAUUGCUUUAAUUGUUAAACUGGCAUUUGUGCUACUUGUAAUUGAUAAGGUUUUCCACAUUUUUGUUUAGAUUUAUAGCUAAAUGUAUGACUUCCAGGGAUUGUUAAUUCUGAAUGUUCUUAUUUUUGUAAUUGAGAAAACCACUUUUCAUUGUAAAUUGGAUAUGAUUAGUUGCAGGAUUUGUGUUUUACUGGAUUGAUGAUUAGAUAUGAAUCCCAUGGUUGAAUUGAUUUAUACUCAUUGCUGAAUUUUUGUUUGCUCGCUUAAAAUUUUUAGGAUUUUCAACGUGGUUGAAGUUAUCCUUGCUGGUUCUUUCAUGAGUGUAUAGAUUGGCAAGUUAAAUUAACAAAGAAAUAAUUAUAUUUAUACGGCAAGCACUUUGAGAGUCUAUCCUCCAGCUGAAGUACAACCAAAACCAACAUAAAGUGGAACCUGUAUUUCCGCCUGAAGCACCACCUAAAGGCUGGAGAUUAGAUUCAGUGGCUCCACUAGAGGGAUCAGAAAGGCUGUUUAGUAACUGCUGUGAUGACUGAUGUACCAAAAAAUCAGUAAACAGACAACGUGCAGCACCUGCCUCAUCAGUUCAACCAUAGCAUUUGUGACAUAAUUGGUCUUGAUUUUUGUUUGGUGAGUUUUCUAUUUUUUUGAUUAUAGAAUGAUAUUUAAGUCAUUUAGUUUAUAUAAAAUAUUUCUCCUUAACCUAUUUGUGGUCGUUAUGAUGAUUUAGAAUAAGGUAACUGUUGAUUAUAACAAACAUUCGUAGCCUUCAAAGUUGAAUUUGUGUGUACGUGCUUAUCGAGCUGAGGUAAAGAAAGAUGACUACUCUCUUGCUAAUUAGUUAAGCACUUAUUUUUAUAUUUUAUUAACUACGAAAACGUACAAACAGUUGUCUGCAACAUUUGGGUUAUGCUUCAUCAAGUCAUGUCCUCUUUUUAAACGAUGAUAUUUGGUUACCCAACUUUCUACAUAAAAUUGUUUACUCAAAUCAAUGUAAGUUGAUAUAUACGGAUGGCUACAUGUUUUUCCUCAUGGCUAAACACUUUUUAGUAAGUUAAAUUUUGGGACAUCUAUGGUUUAAUAUGAUUUAUAUUUUGUAUGAACAUGGGAUUUGUGUGGCUAUAUCGACAUCAACCUGGAAAUGUGGAUGCUGAACUCACCUCUCUAUAACGCCUAGGAGCUGGUGCUUGUGUUGGACUACUGAAAUAAUCAUUGAGUAUAACAGCUCUCAAGCUCAUCACAAUGCAUCUCUAAGUGCUUGUCACUCAUGAUGUUCUAUGAUUCAUCUUCUUACAUUAUUUUGUUAUGACUCGUAGAGAUUUACUUCUGGCUUUUAUCGUAACUAUGGCUUAUA
Long non-coding RNA from Helianthus annuus (common sunflower), 2270 nucleotides. RefSeq lists it as uncharacterized. The transcript has 2 exons. Lineage: Eukaryota; Viridiplantae; Streptophyta; Magnoliopsida; Asterales; Asteraceae. The record is from RefSeq and is a predicted model, not a curated record.